CUGACUCACAGAGCCCCCUUAGACCUGCUGCGUUCUCUGGCGGGCUAACCCUUUCCAAAAUCUCCAGUUAGCGUUUCAGCUCAGAUCCUUCACUUCUUUCUGAAACACUAGUGCCUACCCUUGCCAUGUUUUAUUUUUUUAAUUCCUGGUAUUUCCUUACUAAUAUCAGAAACUCCUUACUGAUUGCAAGACUCUGUGUGGCCUGUCUGCUGACUAGAGUGAAAACUACAGGAGGGCAGAAACUCUGUGUCACACAUGACAGUGGCUCACUUUCCAUCCACACGGAAGGGACCUACUCCACCUUAUCUCAUCAGGUAAGUAAUGCAUGAUAGCCAUUUAGAUUAAAAGGGAAUAAUAAUAGUGGUGGUGAGGAGGAGGAUGGUGGUGCUGGUUCUGCUGCUGCUGCUGGUGGGGGCUUGAACCAUCUAGGCACGUCCUGUCAUUUCUUUGGACAAUGAAGGGAGGUGCAAUCAUAAUGGAAGAUGGCCAUGACUCCACCUCCACUUGGGACUCCUGGGGAAAUAAGGCCAACAUAAUACAAAGUAGAAAUACAUUUUCCUGGAAUUGUGCAACUCCUAUUCAGACAAAAAUAGGGCUAAGCAUGGGAUCAGAAGUAGGUGAGCAUUCACAAUCUAAAUGUUGAAGGGAACGUAGCAGCCCCUGAGUGGUAGAGACCAAGGAAGAUGGCGUCCGUCUCAGCCCCACCUGAAGCAGAUCCCUGUGUGGCACUAUUGUUCCUGCAGGCCAGGUCUGAGGUCCCCCUGGCUACCUGAGAAAGUCAGCUUAGGUGAUCAUCACCAAAGCACAGGGCAUGCCCAAAGGAACAGCAUGGUGUCCGCAAGGCUGUGAAUCACUCCAGGCCUUAACAGGUAUAAGCUAGGCAAUUUUAUUUGGAUGGCUAACUCACUCUAAUAGCAAAUAAAGCCAUAAAAUUAGGAGCUGGAAUAACCCAAGACACUAAUGCAAAAUUAAGCACUGAUGUCUCUGGUCCCUAUCCCAAUCCCUCUCUAUGUUCAAAAUCCCCUUAACAUCUUGACUAGACAAAAAUAUACCCAGGUGGUCCAUGAAUACAUCCAUGGAUUAAAGACAGUGCCAGAGGAGGAGGAGGGAAGGUCGGCUCACGGUGGCUCUGAGUGUUCCUGAGCUGCAUGGACUGAUGGCCAUCCACACUGUUCCUGUCCUGCCUUCAAUCUGUCCAGUUGUUAAUCUCUAAUUUACAUAGAAGAGUUCAGAUGGCUUAGUGUCCUAGAGAAUGUGAUUCCUAAAAGCAAUCUAAUUGCUUCUAAUCCAUCUUUUGGUGUUGGUCACAUCAGCUCCAGCCCUCCUGGGAGCUUCUCACAAGCUUCUCCACCCUCUGCCCACUGACCCACAUUUCCAGUAGGAACUCAAAUGAACAUUUUUUUUAAGCCCUACUAGUAUGCAAGGCAGGUUCUCGGGGGUCAGGUGUUUUGUAAAGGACCCUAGAGCCCUUUGAUGACCUUAUCCAAUAAGGUUCUAAUGUUUAAAACAUACGACAUAAAUCAGAAAUAGAAAACAGUUGAUUAAUGUGUGUUCAUGUAUUUCUUUCUCCUCUUCCCCAAAUCUCCUUGGAAGGACUGUACACCUGGUUACUGAGGCUUCUGUCCUAAUAAUAAACAUUUUUCUUAUAAGAAAAAAAUUACUAAAAACAAUCUGAUAAAACUGAAUUGAUUUAAAAUAAAAUCCAAAAAGCUUCAAUUAAUACUCAAGCUCACCACUAACCUCCCCAUUUUUUGAGACUUGCUUUUUGUCUAAAACACAGAGCAAACAUAAGUUAAGGACAGAAAAUGAAAAUCUGAGGACAUAAAGAAUACAGGGGCAUAUCACAGGUCAGAAAUAACCUUCUCAAAAGACAAAAGGAGAAAUUCCGGGGCAAGAACAUACUGCACCCAGGAACUUUAAAGGAGCCCAAGUUAGUAAUCACGUGCACACACGUGCACACUCACACACACACACAGCACACACACAGUUCAACGGUAGUGGAAGAUAAUGUAAGAGAAACUUAAGUGAAGCGACAGCUGUAAAGACAAAUGAGACCGCAGGAGAAGAGAGAGGGGGCGAAGGUUAAUCCACCAACAGGAGGUGGAGGGCUGUGCCCAACUUUGCUCUUGAAGUGGAUGUGGUAGUUUGGAGCUCCACACUCUCACCGAAAAGCACUAAAACUCUCUGAGUUUUUUAAAAACCUGAAACUAUUUCCAGGUUUCCUAGGAUUACUAAACCUACAAACCCGGGGGGAGGGGGAAAUUCCCGAGGAGAUAAGCUCUCAGAGGUCCUUCAGGGGGUGGAUGUGUGCUGACCUAGACUCAAGGCCAAAGCUGAGAGUCCAAGCCCCAGGGGCCAGGCUGGGGAUGGAGACUUGAGGGGACCUGGGGCCAGGUGGACUAGAGGGAAAACUAAAGACCAAAGAGAAGGAGUCUGAUGAGGAAGCAGUGAGAUGGAAGAGUCCAGGGGCAUUUCCCAUGAAGAGGGCACCGAAAAGCACAAGGGCUUCCUGUGUUGGAAACAAAAGGGAUGAUCCUUCAGGUUUCAGCAGAAAGUCCUGGGCGCUCUGCAGCAGGAGACAGGCAGAGCCUUCCUCGCAGGAGACCCAGGCCAGACAGGAACUGAAUCAAGGCGAGCAAUGCCCACUUUUCAUACCCAAGGAAAACGUAGUGGAUCUUUCAUGGUGGAAGCCACAUCAUCUGGAGCCCUUUUGUAAAUUUACAAUAGCUGUCACUCAAUAAAAAUGUACUAGACAUUCCAAGGCACAGAAACCGAUGAUUAAAAACAGUAGAGGACCUGUCAAAACAAACCCAUAUGCAUUCCCGAUGCUGGAGGAACUGUAGGUCCAUGAACAAGCCAAACAAACAAAAUAAGAUUUGAUCAAUUCACCCCACAUGUAAAAGCUAAAAAUAAACCAUGCCUCUAAAUGUAAACAUAAAUCCAUAAAAAUCAAUACAAGAGAAAAAAAUUUCUGCUCUUGAGUUAAACAAAGUUUUCUUAGCUAUUAUGCCAAAACUAUGAUCCAUAAAAGACAAAAAUUGAUAAAUAGGGAUUUGUUAAAAUUAAGAUCUCCAUAGACUGAGAGAAAACUUUUGUAAAUCCUACAUAAGGUCCAGGAGGUAUAUGCAAAAUAUAUAAGGAACUUUGACGUUUUUUUUUUUUUUUAAUUUUAAUUUUGGUACCAGGGAUUGAACUCAGAGGCACUGAACCACUGAGCCACAUCCUCAGCCCUAUUUUGUAUUUUAUUUAGAGACAGGGUCUCACUGAGUUGCUUAGCACCUUGCUUUUGCUGAGGCUGGCUUUGAAACUUGUGAAUCUCGUGCCUCAGCCUCCCAAACUGCUGUGACUACAAUUUGUUAGUAAUAAUCAACACAAUCCAAAACAGAUAACCAAAUGAGUUUUGUAGUCAAUUCAUGAAAGAAGAUGAAAAGAUUCCCUAAAUAUAAUCAACUCUUUAAUGUAAAAGUUGAAUAUAUGUAAAUUAAAAUCACAAUGUCCCUCUGCAUACCUAUCAAUAUCUCUACAAUUAACUGACUGACCACACCAAGUGUUGCUGAGAACAUAGAUCAGCGAUAUUUUUGUAUAUUGCAGUGAUCACAGAAUGUUAUAACAACUCUAGAAAAUAUAUGCAGGUUUUUAAAAACACACCUAUAUACCCUAGGGUUGACCCCAGACAAAAGAAAGCACAUGCUACAUGAAGAAUCAAACCUGGGUACUCCCAGGAGUUUCACUAUUUAACAGGUCGAAUCUAGAAACAACCCAGGGGCAAUUACAAGGAAUGACUGAACUCACUGUGGCAUAUUCAUGUAAGAAUACUAAGAAAUAAGCCAGAAAGGACAACUGGGAGAGCCAAAUCAUGGAUGGACCUCAAAGUAAUUACGCUGAAUGAGAGUCAGACAAAAGAGGGUGCAUAUUCCAUGUUUGUGUUGAAUACAUUUCUAGAAAAAUGCAAACUAAUCCAUAGUGAAAGAUGAUGGCCUCAAGGAAGAAAUCAUAAGCCGACCGAGGACUCUUCAGAGGUGGUAGAUGUGUCCUGAUUUGGGGAACAGUUUCACAAAUAUGUUAAAACACGUUCAAAUACAUCAAGUUACAUACUUUAAGCCUUUUCUUAAGUAUAUACUAAUAAAUCUGAUAAAAGUAAAUCUUUAAACAUAGAGAGCAUAUGUUAGUCAGCUUUUUGUUACUGUGACAAAAUACCUGCAUAAUUAUCUUAAAAAAGAAGCAAAGUUUAUUUUGGCUUAAGGUUUUGGAGGUUUCAGUCCAUGGUGAUGUUGACCCUAUAACUUCUGGGUCUGGGGUGGAGUGUAUCACAGUGGAAAUGUGGCAGAGAAAGAAGCAGGAAGAGGAAGAGGAAGAGGAGGGCCUGGGGUGAUCAGAAGGCCUCCCACUAGCCCAUCUCUUAAAGGUUCACCACCUCUCCACCUCCCGAAUACACCACAGGCUGAGAACCAAGCCCCGACCACACUGGGGGACGCUUGUCCAAACCAGAGUGGAAUAACACCCCUGAGAGACUUGACCUAAUGGGCACAGGUAAAUGCUACCCGCUGCUGGGCAUGUGCCCCAGGUAUUCCUUUCUCCUCCUCUUCCAGUGUCUUCAGGCCGAGCCUCUGUGGACAGACCCUUCUCUGGGGCUGAUGCAGUGUUUCCUCAGGUCUCCUGAUUGGAGGUCCUCGCAAUGUUCCAGAACCCCACCCUGUUUUCUCUUCACCUGUGUUUGUUUUACUGUUGCGAGGUCCUCGUCACUCUAAAUUCGUGACACCGUACCCUGAAUUCCUGCUUAGACACCCAGUGUCCUGCCGUUGCUAUGGUCCCCUGCUUCCUCUGUCCUCUGCCUAAGCCAUAGCCCGCCCCUGAGGGCUGCAGCUUCACCCCUCGGCCUUGGCUGUCUGUCAUCGUCACCAACACGCACCCUAGGACCUGGGCGCAGGUGCGGCCAUUUCUCCAUCUCCACCCCUCCCCUGUCCGCCCAACUCCCUUUGCUCCUCACCUAGCAUCUCUUCAUUAAAAUUUUGGUGCCUAUAGAAUAAACUACUGCUCAACUUGCCUAAUAAUAAAUGAAGAUGAAUCUAGUAAGCUGUUUAAAACAACCAAAAUUGUACCUUAAAAUUUAUAAACAUAAGACAUGCUAAUUGUUGAGAGUUUUAAAAAUUAAGCAGAAGUAAUAAGAAAAAUAUCCAUAUUCCUACCAAAGGGGAAAAUACCCCAAUUUUUAUAAGAUCUUUAUGUUUAACGUUUACUGAGUAUUAAUUACCAUCCAGAAACCAUUCUAAAAGUUUUACAUGUGUUUAUAUGUAGUAUACACACAUGUAUUUUAUAAACUAUGUUGGCAUGGCCUGUCUGUAGCAUGUGUUUUUCUUUAAUCAUGUAUCGUAAACAUCUUUGUUCACAAGCAUAGAAUCAUCUACACUAUAAUUCACAUCUACAUAGCAGUUAAUCCCACAGACAGAAUUUAUUGUCUAAUAAAGGUGUAGAAUUUCAAUUAGUUACUAUUUAACAAUGAAGUAUUAAAUAUAUCUAAAAUUUAAAAGAAAACAUAUUGGGUCUGAAAUUCUCCAAAUUCUGAAAUUGGAGUAAGAACAAUUUUAAAUGCAUUUUAAAAGUUAUAUGUGGGUGUUGUUGAAUUGCUCCUUGGAGACUUUGCACCAUUUAUACUUUUGUACAUAGUUUAGGAAAAUGUCUACCUGUACAUGCAUUUUUUUAGACUUUUAUAACAUUACAUUCAAUUUCAAAGGAAAUUCCGAUAAUUGCCAACUUUGCACUUUGUUCAACAAAUUUAAAAUGAAUAGAACUAUUCACAUCCAAGAAAGACAUUGGGAUACAACCAAAUUUUGUUCCUUACAUAUUUCACAUUUCUGACUCAGAAAUUCUGAGCAUCCUUUUACUGCACUUUACCAACACUUGUGUUUGGACAACAUAUAAAGAAAAAAAAUUAAGCUGCACUUAACUUUCAAAUUUUUAGCAUAUUCAGUGAUACAAGUCAAACACCAGCUGGGGACGAGGUCUUUGUAUGAGAUCAUCAAGUUUGCAAGAGAAGAAUCUGUGCUUGUAAGCCAGUCCAACCCCUUUAAUCACCAGCCAGCAGCUUCAAGUACAUAGCACGCCUGUCCCAGGGCACAAAUUCCCAAGGGGAAGUCCUCCUCAACCACCUGUCCAUGGGCCACACAGAGCACUCCCCUUCCAAAUAGGGAAUUCAACACUGCUUCUCCCAGGUAUUACCCGAGCAGGGAACAACAACCCAACAGAGAGCACAGAGGAACUAGAUGCAACGUUUUCAGACCAGAACAAUGUAAAAAUGCACUUUUCAAAAAGCUUUGAGAAUUUCCUAACUUUGGCAGUAGAGCAUGAGACCAGGCUUCGGCCCUGUGCUGUGGUUCACGUUUCAUACCAACGCAGCAGUUUCUGUGCAGGGCAAUGAGUGACCCCACGGAUCUAACUUUUCCAGUAACAUCAUAGGUCUGGUAUACUCUUUCUAAUUACAAGCAUGAAUGAGAUGAUUUGUGAAGAAGUUUAACUCCUCGAAGCAAUAAAACGAGCAAGUUGCUAUCAGGAAUAAUUAAUUACACAAUGCCAUCAAGAGGAACACAUUGCAGACUCCUCCUUUCCAAAAACCACAACACAAGGUCAGACAGACACACAUCAUAAUCACUUUUCAGAAUUAAUUUCUCAAAUUUUCAUGUUUGGAGGCAGAAAUUCCCUUAGCAAGAGUUGAGAGAUGUACUAUGAUUUUCAUUUUCUCUCAAAUAUUUUGAUGUUAUUUCUUUCUUUGUGGGAAGAAUUCACUUGUAAAGCCAAGUAACUAGAAUUUAUUUAUGGGAGAUAUUUUUACUUCAUAAUAAAAUUACUGAACAGACAUAAAAUUGUUCAGAUCCUCUAGUGUCUGUGUUGGCAAGGUACAUGUAUGAGGCACACACACUUUAGAAAUUUGCCGAUUCUGUUUAAUAUUCAGAUUCUUUGGCAAAAUUAUUAUUCAUAAUAUACUCUGAUUUUCAUUUUAAUGUUUGUGAGAUCUGUAGUAAUGUCCCACUGUUUCUAAUGUUGGUGAUUAAUUUUUCCGUUUUUAUCAACCAAUUAAUGAAUGUAUCCAACUCAUCUAUCCUUUUCAAGCAAUUGACUUUGUUCUCAUGCUCAAGUAAUCCCUUAUUUUCUAAUUUCAACAGCUAGAAGCCACUCUUGGCGCAGACUGUGAAAUGUCAUUACAGACUGCUUCCUUUUCCUAAGGACCAGAGCUUCUGAAUUUCUCACUGGCAGGAUACUGCUGACUUGAGUUUUCUGUUCUCAGUCUCUGAGGCAGCAAAGGGUUCAUCUGAAAAACCUGAACCCUUGGAUGGUGCUUUCCUUUCAAUUUUUUUUUUUUUUAUUUUUUACUUUUAAUGCAACAGUCCCAGAUUCACCAUGCAAUGGCCAAAUGUUCAGCUUGACCCUUCUCAAGUCUAUGUGAAACAUCCUCAAGGGCAGACCAUAUGUUGGGUCAUAAAACAAACCUUAAUAUAAUUACAAAGGUCGGAGUAAUAUGAAGUAUAUUUUCUGGCAAUAAAUGAAUAAAGAUUGAAACCAAUAAAAGCAGCAAAAAUGGAAAAUUUUAAAUGCGUGGAAAUGAAAAAAACAUGCUGUUAAACAACCAAUAGGUAAAAGAAGACAUCACAAGAGAAACUAGAAAAUAUUUAGAUCCAAAUAAAAAUGUGAAACAAAAUAUCCUAAAAUUUAUGGAAUAUUGUGAAGGAAAUACUAAAAGAAAAAUUCAUAGAUAUAAAAACCUACACUAUAAAGGAAGAAAAAUUUCAAAUCAGCAAUUAUCUGUAUACCUUAAGGAACAAAAGAAGAGGGGGUGGAGCAACUCACAGGUAGGGUAAGGAAGAGAACAAAAAUUAAAGUGGAACUGAAUGAAACAGAGAAUGGAAAAGCAAUGGGAAAAAUCAACAAAACCAAAAACUGAAUACUUAAAAAGACAAGAAAAUAGGAAAAUCUCUAGCUACACUGACCUGGGGAAAAAGAGGAUAUCCAAAUAGCUAAAAUGUAAAAAGAAAACUGAGACACUACUACCAACCUUACAGAAACAAUAAUAAUUAAAAGAGAAUACAGUAAAAUAUCGUGCACCAACAGAUUUGAUAACCUAGAUAAAAUGCACAAGUUCCAAGAAACCCACAAAUAACCUAAACUGAUUCAAAAAGAUAUUUUAAAAAUCUCAAACUUGUAACGAGUAAUCAGUAAUCAAAAACAUAACAACAAAGAAAAUUACAGGACCAGAUGGCUUCAUGGUAUUUUCUUUGGUUUUGUUUUGUUUUGUUUUUUGUUGUUGAAUUUGCACUGGGGAAGAACCUAGUGCCUUGUGCAUGCUAAGCAUGAGCUCUACUCCUGAACUACAUCCUCAGCCAAGGGAAUAUUUUUAUGUGAUGCAGAUGAUCAAACCCACGGCCAUAAGUACGCUAAGCAAAUGCUCUGCAAUUGAGGUAGGCCUCUAUCCUGAAGGACUUUUUAUUAAUUCAUUGGUAAAUUCUUCCAAACAUUUAAAGAAUUAAUAUCAAACAUUCUCAAACUCUUCCAAGAUAUAGAAGAGUGAAUAUUUUUGUGUCCAUGAGCUUUUUAUGUCUGUGAUCAAAAUAUCUGGCAAGAAGAACUUAGAGCAGGAAAAGUUUACUCAUGACUCUAGGGGUCUUGUCCAUGGUCAGAUGACUACACUGACCUGGGCCCAAGGUGUGAUACACCACUACGGUUGAAGGACAUGGUGGAGCAGCACUGCUCUAUCAGGGCAGUCAGAAAGAAGAGUGGGUGGGUAGUGGGGUGCAGAGAAGAUGCACCUUUCCAAGGCACCCCGUCUAGCCAUGACCCAUCCGCCUACAGUUGCCACCCUGCCAGUCCAUUUAAAACUACCAUGAACUGAUUAGGUUAUAGCUCUCCUAUUCUCAGCCUUUCACCUCAGAAAAUUCCUGCAUUAACACAGGAACUUUUGUGAAAUCUCUCAUAUCCAAACCACAACAACUUCCAGCCUUAUUCUAUGAGGUCAGAUUUUCUUAACACUAAAGAUAAAUCUAUAACCAUCACUGUAUUGAUCACUAGCAAAAAACAACUUGAUAAAGAAGAUGAUGAUGGUACAUUGCAGACUACAGAAUAAAUAUUGUUGAAAGAAUUGAAGAAGAUCUAAACCCAUGUUCAUGGACUGAAAGACUUAAUGUUAUUAAAACGCCAGUACUACACAAAGUGAUCUAGCAUGUAAGAUUCAACAUAACUUCUACAAAAAUUCCCAAGGUCUGUUUUGAAGAAAUAACAAAGCCAAUUAUCAAAUUCACACAGAACUCUAGAGAUCAAAAAAAGCCAAUUUUCAAAAUGAAAUAUAGCAUAUAAAAUUUCCUGAUUUAGACACUUAUCUGGAAAUCUACAGUAAUAAAAACAAUGUGGUACCGGUAUAGAUGGAAUGGAACCGAUAGUUCAUAGAUGAGCCCAUGCAUCUACAGUCAAGGUGUCAGGGACACUCCAUGGGGAGGUAACUGUUUUCAGCAAAUAGUACCAGAACAACUUUCCACACAGUAAUCUAAAUCUAAGAUAUAAAACCAUAAAACAGAAGAAAACAUGAGGGUAAGUCUUCAUAACCUUGGACUUCACAAUGAAUUCUUAGAUGUAACACCAGAUGUGUGAGCAGCAGCAACACAACCAAAAAGUAACUUUAACUUCAGGAAAAUUAAAAACUUUUGUGCACCAAACAACUUUAUUAAGAAAGUUAAAAUCUAAUACAAGGGGGACAAAUGAAUGACAGUAGAGGGGGCAGAGAGAGAAGAGGGGAGGGGAGGGGAGGGGAGGGGGGAUAGUAGAGGAUAGGAAAGGCAGCAGAACACAACAGACACUAGUAUGGCAAUAUGUAAAUCAAUGGAUGUGUAACUGAUGUGAUUCUGCAAUCUGUAUAUGGGGUAAAAAUGGGAGCUCAUAACCCACUUGAAUCAAAGGUUGAAAUAUGAUAUAUCAAGAACUAUGUAAUGUUUUUAAUAACCAACAAUAAAAAAUUUAAAAAAAAUAAAAUAUAAAAAAAAAGAAAGUUAAAAUCUGGGAGAAGACAUCAAGGAACCUUAAAUAAGCAUUUCUAAGUGAAAAGAAAUCAACCUGAAGAGUUACAAACUGUGUAACACCAACUGUAGGACAUUCUGAAAUGGCAAAACUAGAGUCAAUCAAAAGGUCCGUUGUCAUCAGUGGUUGAAUGGUGAAUCACGAGGAAGAUGAAUGGGUGCAAUACAGAACGGUUUUAGCGAAUAAUUAUAUUCUCUAUGAUAUUCUAAAGAUGGACACAUUAGAUAGAAUUUGUCAAGCACACAAAAUAUACAUUAGGGGCCCUAAUGUAAAGUAUGGAUGUUGGUGAAUGAUAAUAAUGCAUUGAUAUGGAUGUUCAUCAGGUGUUGGGAAGAUUCUAAUAACAGGGGAAACUAUGGGAGGGGCUUUCUCUGCUCAUUUUUUUUCUCUGCUCAUUUCUUCUCUAAAAUCAAAGCCACUUAAAGAAAUAAUUUCUUUUAAUAACAACAAACAAACAAAAAGUGGUGAGUAAUCUGAGGAACUCUUAGCCUGAUGAUAAUAAUUCUUUCUUUGAACUUUUUAAAGUGACCCUUUGCACUUUGUGGACUGGGCAGGUGAGCCUCUGGCACCAUCUCUGUUAGAAAAAUAGUAACUUUUCUUUCUUAAGAUGUUUAUAAGCUCUUUGUGAUUUUUCCUGUGCCAUUUUCCUUCUUCAAAUACAACACUACUAUAAUUGUUAUGAAUGUCAGAAUAAGACAAAAACAACUGAAUACAGAGUCAAUCAAGUAAGAAUGAUCUUCAUCCAAACUCUAUCCAUAUUUCUGUCUUUGGAUUUGAGCAUAGUAUUGACUGUUUCAUUGUAUGUGCCUUACUCUAAAACAGAUUUUGAUCAAAUUCUCUGUUUAGCAUUUUUUUUUUCCUGAUGUGGUGCCUUGCUUCUUGGUUCUAUUCACUCUUUCCAGUGAAAUGAUCCAAAACUCUGUUUCUGAUUAUACUAUGUAAUUUUAAUACAGAAAGUUAGUUUGUCAAUAAGAGAUUUUUACCUCAAUAAAACUGUAUAUAUUUUCCAGUAAAAGUCAUCCUAAUAGAAAAGUUAUGUUGCUCUAUUAAUGUUGACUUGUAAGAUUGGGGAGACAAUUAUGGAAUAAUGCUUCAUUUUAUGAACGGAUUACUUACAAUUGUUUAAACAUUUUUUGGCAUAGAAAAUGUUCCAUGUUUUAGUUAAAUCUUCUUUAAUAAAAAUACCUCCUUCUGUGGCAAGUUAAGUGUUACAAAUAUGCAUGUAUCUGCAUCAGAAGAUGUUCAUGUAUUUAAUAUAUUUCUUGUAUGAUUCACACACAAAAAAAGAGACAGCAUCUAUACUCUUUCUCUUAUAAUCUCCAAAUCUCCAAAGAAAGCCCAAUAUGUUUAAAAAAAUGCUUAUUGAGUGUCUAUUUAAUGUCAGGCACUAUUCAGGGCACUGGAAACAGUAGGACCUAGAGUCAUCAUGACAUUCCCAGAGCAUACAUUCAAUUGGAGGGAGACAGACAGAAUACACAUCUCAUUACCAGUAUAAGAAAAUAGCAAAGAGUAUCAGGAAAACAAAGAGCAUUCACAGUGUAAAGAGCAUCCGAGGGUGAGGCAACAGGUAGAGGAGCUAUUGUUGAAAAUCUGGAAACAGCCUUACUUACAAACCAAUGUGUUAACUUCCCAAAAUUUCAUGAAUUAAAGAACAGGCAUAGAUUCCAAGUGUACAGAGAAGGGACAGUUUGCUAUUCACAACAGGAGUAACAUCAAAGUAUCCACACUUUUGAGGCAGUUCUCUCAGCCAGAAUUCUCAAGGAGAACUCAGAUGAAAGUAGACCACUUCUGAAUAAGCAGUAUGUUGGCUCAUGGGACAAAAACUCUAAGCACAGACAACCUGCCUCUUUUAUAAUAGGCAGUAAGCAUGCCCGACCUUACCCUCUUAGUCUUGUCUCCCAGUGUUCACGAUACAGAUAUCUCUUAGAGAUAUUCCCAUGACUAAGUGCAGUCAGUUCCUUGCUUAAAAGAUGUGUAGAGGUGAGAAAGACCUGUGGAGAAUUGACUGGCAACAGCAUCCACUCUUCACUUCCACCCAGUCUCAAAUUUUAGCUACUUUUCUCUUGAAUAAGUCACAUAUCUCACUCCACCAGCCAGCCACCUUGACUGACCUGACUGCCAGAGCACUUGACCAAAAACAUUCAAUUUGACUCAGAUGUUUCAAGUUUACUCUCAACAGCAAUGUAAGUGCCAGAGGAAAGCCAGUCUAGUGUUAUUAUGUGCAAACAUACUUCCUGAAUCUAAUCAGCAAACUCGGUUUAAGUUUCUGUAUUGGUCUUAAUACUUGAAUUGGGACAUUGUUGUAAAUGUAGUAGAAUAUAUUAGUAACUAUACAGAUUCUGCCAUGGUCUACGGGGAAGAACGCUAUGGAAACUCCAUUAACCACUGUCCUCGUCAGUGAGAGGAGACUGACUUGAAGUCUUCCAAAACUGAAGUGAGGUCAGUAGAGGCUUCAGACAAAGUGAGGAAUGCAUGGAAUGCCAUGCUUUCUGGUUGAGUGACUGCUGUCCUAGAGUAACUGCCCAUAGGGUGUACGCUUAUCCCUUCAGAAGUUUUCCACCGGAACUCACCUGAGGGACACUAAGCUAUUGCAAUAUUUUCUUAAAUACUCAAAGUUCUACUGAGAUCCUGUUGUGUCAUCCUCCUUCUAUGAGGGAGACAAGUUAACCCCUGGUUUCUAUACAAGUAUAAUCCUAGAGUAUAUUCGGUGCCCCUGGAAAGAAAUCACUAUUUACAAUGGUGGGGACCUCCUAGUGACACCUGCAUGAGUCAGAGGCAGAGGAUGAACAUGAUUCAAAAUUGACCUUUCAUCUGCUCCUAGGUCUUAAACUGCCCAGUGCAGUUUAAAGAGCUGAGUUUAACACUUGGUUUUGGAGCAAAACAAUGGAAGCCAGUCUAACAUGCCCUGUUUUCUCACACGGUUAGAAGGAUGGCCCUUGUUUGCCCUCACGUUGAUUGAGCAGUGCGCAGGGAAUAGAGUGGGGAAAUAUUCAGAGGUGUUUAUGGAUGCUUUGCUUGGAAAGCGCUAGGGCUAGGGCUCCCUUUGGCUAUUUCUAACAGACUUCUCAGUCAAGGUUAGGAGAACGGCCUAGGGAACCUGAAUAUUUUAUAGUGGGCAGUAAGCAUGCCUGCCCUUUUCUUCAGAGAUAUAAAAUCCUUUUUCUGGAAAGAUGUAUGCUGUACACCUGUCCUUGAAAUGUUGGACUGAAACAGGGGAAUCUGUGCAUUUCCCACAAAAUAUACAGAAACACAAAUAUCCAUGCAAAGUUGUCUCCCACUAGGCAUUUCUGUCAGAAGGCACAGCAAGCACAAACACUUGAAAGCUGGAAGAUGGUGGGGAGGACUUGGCAGAUUUCCAAAGAUGCCGAGCAACCGAUUUUUCCAGAACUAAAAGGCAAGCGGGAGGAGGUGAGGCAGAGGUUGUAUCGCCGAACAUCUGCUAAGGCCCUGCAGUGAAUCACAAAAAGGAACGAAAUUCAAUUUUUUCUGAUUUUCAUUUUUUAAGGUAUAGGAAAUGAGAAAAGAUUUUCUCUAUCAUGAAAACUAUCACCAGUUGAACUGUAGGUCACAUCCCUAUUUUACCUGUUUUACAAAAAUCAGUCUGGGAUGAUCUUCCUACCUAUUAUGGUGCCAUGAAAACUGGUGGAGCCAGAAUCCCCAUCAAAAUGGACCUUCCAGGAACUGAGUCCAGCGACUCGUUGGUAAGACCAUGGGCUUUGCAUUUCAGUUCUAAUUAUUCACUCUGUGCCCUAAGGUCAAUGGAGUUUCUUUCCCUGAUCCUCUCACUUGGAGAAAGGGUCUCGUAACUAACCUUUACAACCAACACGAUUGCAAUUUAACAGAUAAGGGGGUUGAAUUUAUACCUCCGUUUACUUUGUUUUCCCACUAGCAAUAACAUCAACCGUGAAAACUUAUAUUAUGAGAAGUCUCGUUUGAAAACCCCGGUAUUAAAUACUACAUUAUCUUGGGACGUACUUAAUGUAACGUUAACUUGACCAAAGUACGUAUAAAAAGUUGAGAGACCAACAUAAGACGAAGAGAUGAAAUUUUUUUUUACUUACGUGUAUGUAUAUACUCUACCUCCCGUGUUUUACGACAUACAUACUCAUAGAGGUCUCUCCUUUUGACCGGAAUAAAUUUACACCGACGUACGGAUUCGACGGAUAAGUCAGGGUUGGGAUUGUUUCUAAAUCUUCCCGUUUGUUGGAAAUGUCGUCUUCACUCCUGAUAAAAAUGUGACGUUUUCAGAACCAAAAUACAAAUAAACAUUCUAAGACCGUCGAUAAAACUCUACAAAGACUCAACGUUACUCUUUGUAAUACAGGUACUUAAACUUUUUUCUCCCCUUUUAAUUUUUAUUUUUACUAAAAUCGCAUACCUAAAAAAAAAAAUGCUUUUAAAUUCAUUAUCAACAGAUUUUGAUAUUUUUGUGUGGGUUUUGUGUAGGGGGAUGUGUCUCUCCUAUCUGGCUGUUUUGGGAAGAUACUUGAGGGGGAAAAUAAAGAUCUUUUAAAAAGAUUCUGUGUUCUAGUUUUCCAAAGAAAGUACAUUUUUAAACUUGUAGAAAAGUUUAUGUCUGUAAAGAUGAAGGUAUCAUGCUGACUGAAUGGAAGGGAGCCACGGACCAGAGCUACUCCUGGGUUAAUGGCGUUGAAGACAGGAGCAAGGAGCCCUAACAGGCCUAGCAACAGUCCUAUCUGGAUCUGAUUCCAUGUGGGCCACUGUAGUUUUGAGCAAUCUUCUUGGUCUUUCAAAACCCUUAUUAGACUUUUGGGUGACAAUUCAGGGAUAGUGGAUUUGCAUUUUUAAAAACUUUUUAAAAAAGUGUUGUUUUAUAUGAAGCAUCAUUAGAGCAUACCUAGAUUGACUCUUAUUUAAAAUGUUAUUACGCACAGUGAUUACAACACUAUCAGCUAUUGUUUAUUGACAACCUACUGCUUAAUGAGAACAUAGUCACGCAAUCGACUUUAUGUCUACUCCACGUCUUAGUGCUAGAAAUAAGUAUUCGUUGCCAUAUUUUUCACAUGAGGAAUUAGAAAUAUUCCUUCCUAGUGAAAGAAAUAAAACUUAAUAUUAGUUCUGUGUGGAUCCCAAACCCAUGUUUGUUUUGUUACAUUAUAUUGUAUAUCUUUGUUCUUUGAUUUAUCAUUACCCUAAAUUUAUCUUUACAAAAGAAAAAAAAGAAGGUAAACCAAAGAAAAAAUUGGAGUGAAGUCUUGUGCUAUAAUUCUUUUAACCAUGGUAUUCAUAAAUGCUUUUCGAAGCACAUUUGAUCUAAUCACUGGGUGAGGGAGUGUGAGAAAUAUGGAAGGAGGAAAGCAAGAUUUUCUUUCUACUUCGUACAUGUAUUUGGGUAAAGAGAUCUCUAGUUUCUAAGCAAAAUAUUAUAGAACAGUUUGUAAGAGGAAUGCUUUGUGAAGAUACACAAACACAAUACAGAAAUAAACAGCAAAAUCCAAUUUCUGUUUUGGGAUUUUUCUCCCCAGUAAGGAGUUUGGAGUCUCUGGGCCUACAUAGCUAAAUUGAGUUGUUGUCAAGCUCUUUCAGAAAAUUGCAAAAUGCACAGAAUCAUACAUCACUGCAGUGCAAUGCUUCUUUUUAAAGCUUUAUUAGUGCCUUGUAGUUGUACGUAACAGCCGGGCUCAUCUGACACAAUCCUACAUGCAUGGGGUUUAAACGGCUCCAUUCCAGUCCUGGGCAUUUCCUCUUUCCCUUUCCUCCUCCUCACCCUCUGCCCUUCUGCUACUGUAUUGGUCUUCCUUCUGUUGUUUUUUUUUAACCUAUUUAUUUUUGAUUAGUGAUCUAUAGAUGUGCAUGAAGGUGGAAUUCACUAUCGUAUAGUUAUACAGGCACAUGGCAUAAUUUUGACAUAUUCAUUCACAUGUCCUCUCCUUUCCUAUCCCUCCUCCCUCCCCUUAAUCUCCUUCUUGUAUUCUGCAAUGUUUUAAGUAUAAAUUUAUUGCUAAGGUAGAACACUGCAUUUAUGUCUUAUCUAUUAACUGAUUAAUUGCAAGUUAAAUGCUGCUGGGUAAUAUCUUCACCAAAGACUUAUUUUUUUUUAAAUCACAUUUGAUCUGUGAUAUAUAUAUAUAUAUAUAUAUAUAUAUAUAUAUAUAUCACUUUUUUCCAGCACUCUCAAGAAAGAAUUUAGUACAUCUUUACAUUUCUUUAUAUAUACCUGAGUCCCUUGUGAGCUUUUAAAAUUUAGGCAUACAUUCGGUGUACAUUCAUUUCAUAGUUACUGGACAAUUGCCUUCAUAUGAUCAAUUUAAACUAGUGGGAAGAGUGGAGUUAAAAUCAACAUUAUACCUGCUGCCAACCAUUCUGGAAUUCCUGAGAAAAAUGGCAGAUAUGUAAAAAAAAAAACUUGCUAUACAAUGUGAGAAUUCUUUAAAUGCUAUGCAAAGGGAAAUGUGUGGUUAAAGAAAAGAACUAUAUAGUUUACAAAAUGCAGUGUCGGCUGUAUUUCAUUUGAAAGUCAUAAUUCUUUGAGGUAGACUGAUCUCCAUUCUCUCACUUCAUCCAUAGGGAUGUGUGAAGCAGGAGGAUUCAGAGUUAAAGAGUCCUUUGGCCAAGUUCACAGAGCCAGCAAAUGCUGGGGUGAAAAACAACUGUAGAUGAUUCUGGGAUGAGCACCAGUUCUCCCACCUGGUUUUGAGCCCUGGAUACUCCUGUACUGGGAAGGGAUGGAGCUGUACUCAUGUGCAGGUCAUGUUGUAGGACAGUUAUCUGAAGAUGGAGCAAGGACCCACAUGGGUCCACCUUAAUCACCUGAGCUCAUCUUAGGAAGAGAGAUUUUCUAGCUGGAGUUGGACUCAAAGCACAGUAAAGUUCUCAAGUUCCCUCUCUGGUUUGAAGAUAGGAAAGACUCAAAUGACAAGGAAAGUGAGUGACUUGGAAAGUGGGGGGCAUCCUCCAGUCGACAGCCAGCAGGAAGCAGGGGUCCCAAUCUGAUGUCUGCGAGAGACUGAAUUUUACCAGCAAGAAUGAACUUGGAAAUAGAAUUUUCUCCAGAGCUUCCAGACAGGCCAUCAGCCCAUCAACUUUGAUUUCUACCCUGGAGAGCCUGAUGACCCCCGCUCCCUUUGCUGGGCUUCUGACCUACAGAACUAUCCUAACAAACUAUCCCAUGCUUUUUUAAUCUAUUAAGUCUAUAAAAAUUUGUUACUCACAAAGAGAAAAUUGAUACAAUGCACCUAUGUCUUUUUAAAUUUUUUAUUUGUUCUUUUGUGUUACACGUGGCAGUAGAAUAUACUUUGACACAUCAUACAUGCAUGGACUAUAGCCUCC
This 17343-nucleotide long non-coding RNA is filed under the name Marmota monax (woodchuck). The record is from RNAcentral. Lineage: Eukaryota; Metazoa; Chordata; Mammalia; Rodentia; Sciuridae.